AGUCGAACGGCAGCGGGAAAGUAGCUUGCUACUUUUGCCGGCGAGUGGCGAACGGGUGAGUAAUGUAUCGGAACGUGCCCAGUAGCGGGGGAUAACUACGCGAAAGCGUGGCUAAUACCGCAUACGCCCUACGGGGGAAAGGGGGGGAUCUUAGGACCUCUCACUAUUGGAGCGGCCGAUAUCGGAUUAGCUAGUUGGUGGGGUAAAGGCCUACCAAGGCGACGAUCCGUAGCUGGUUUGAGAGGACGACCAGCCACACUGGGACUGAGACACGGCCCAGACUCCUACGGGAGGCAGCAGUGGGGAAUUUUGGACAAUGGGGGAAACCCUGAUCCAGCCAUCCCGCGUGUGCGAUGAAGGCCUUCGGGUUGUAAAGCACUUUUGUCAGGGAAGAAAAGGUUUCGGAUAAUACCCGGAACUGAUGACGGUACCUGAAGAAUAAGCACCGGCUAACUACGUGCCAGCAGCCGCGGUAAUACGUAGGGUGCAAGCGUUAAUCGGAAUUACUGGGCGUAAAGCGUGCGCAGGCGGUUCGGAAAGAAAGAUGUGAAAUCCCAGGGCUCAACCUUGGAACUGCAUUUUUAACUACCGAACUAGAGUAUGUCAGAGGGGGGUGGAAUUCCACGUGUAGCAGUGAAAUGCGUAGAUAUGUGGAGGAACACCGAUGGCGAAGGCAGCCCCCUGGGAUAAUACUGACGCUCAUGCACGAAAGCGUGGGGAGCAAACAGGAUUAGAUACCC
Molecule: ribosomal RNA, 740 nt
Filed under: Advenella sp. DK-4
Lineage: Bacteria; Pseudomonadati; Pseudomonadota; Betaproteobacteria; Burkholderiales; Alcaligenaceae
Description: bacterial SSU rRNA
Rfam family: Bacterial small subunit ribosomal RNA
Source: RNAcentral